CUUAAAUUAGAGGGGCAAAGGUUUAAAAAUAAUAUCAGGAAAUAUUACUUUACUGAGAGGGUAGUGGCUGCAUGGAAUAGCCUUCCAGCUGAAGUGGUAGAGGUUAACACAGUGAGGGAGUUUAAGCAUGCGUGGGAUAGGCAUAAGGCUAUCCUAACUAUAAGAUAAGGCUAGGGACUAAUGAAAGUAUUUAGAAAAUUGGGCAGACUAGAUGGGCCGAAUGG
Non-coding RNA from Pelobates cultripes (western spadefoot toad), 224 nucleotides. The record is from the annotation of a GenBank genome assembly. NCBI's taxonomy places the organism in Eukaryota, Metazoa, Chordata, Amphibia, Anura, Pelobatidae.